CUCUUUGCAGUGGGACAGCUGAAGAGGUAUAAUUUAACAGCUUUCAGAAGCCCGUCACUGGAGUGAUUGAGGUGGACAGAAGGCAGGGACAUGACCACGGUCCUUAAAAGACACAAACAGGAUUCUGACAGGAAGCCAUAGAAAUGCAAGCCAACACUGCCAGCUCUGGAAAUAAAUAAAUAAUGACCCAGGUUCUAUGCUCCUCAAUGGGGGCAGAAGCCUGCGGGGCAAGAAAACCACAGAGGAGGAGGGACCUGCCUGCAACUUGUCCCCAGGCUUGGACAAGUGGUGCUCAAACUCCAAGGACUUCACAAGCUUCAGGCUGCAGUCACCUCCAAAGGGAGUGGCCCCCUGCUCUGGCUGGUCAAACGGAACCAAGUCCGUCUUCCUGAGAGGUUUGGUCCCCUUCAACCAGCUACAGCAGGGCUGGCAAAGCUCAAUAUUUGGAGAAAGAGAAGAGAAGAGAAAAUAGCUGCUACAGCCUUGCUUAUGAAAAGUAAUGCUGGUUUUGCCAUCAUAGC
RNAcentral lists this long non-coding RNA (521 nucleotides) under Mus musculus (house mouse). RNAcentral describes it as "long intergenic non-protein coding RNA of muscle differentiation 1". The stretch from base 352 to 424 matches the Rfam family "mir-133 microRNA precursor family". Lineage: Eukaryota; Metazoa; Chordata; Mammalia; Rodentia; Muridae. The record is from RNAcentral.